This is a long non-coding RNA of Carya illinoinensis, 2234 nucleotides long. RefSeq lists it as uncharacterized. NCBI's taxonomy places the organism in Eukaryota, Viridiplantae, Streptophyta, Magnoliopsida, Fagales, Juglandaceae. The transcript is spliced from 2 exons. The record is from RefSeq and is a predicted model, not a curated record.
AAGUAUCUAUUACAGAUGAACUGAGGCAUGAUUGAGUGGAAGGGAAAGGGGCACAUGGGUGGCACAUGCCAUCUACACGAUUUGGCUCCACCCAUGCCCUAAAAUGCCACUUGGCACUCAUGCACAAGAUGGCUCUUAGUCUUCCCAAAGCUUGUAAUCGUGAGGGAUCUUGGAGAUAAGCAUCUGAACAAUAAGCAGAAGAGAGAAUCUCAGAAUUUGCACAAAGGGGAGAAAGGGGUGCUCGGCCACCACAAGAAGAUGCCACCUGGCAUCCAUGCGUGUGUAUGUCCCUUGGGAUUUCAAGAAGGAUCUAAUGAUGGAGACUUAGAGGUUUCGGCUAUGCCGCUUGGCAAACAUGCAGAAGGCUUUUCUGGGAAUUUUGAGGAAACUAAUAAUGAGGGAAAGGGGACUGAACUUCGGUGGAUGUAAGAAGGCGCCACAUGGAUCCAUGCAUGAGGUUGAUCAGUGAUAUUUUUGUCACCAGAAGAACAAUCAAUCAAAGGAAAGAGAGGCAUGGGGAAAUGAAGGGAUAUUUAAACCUAGCUUUAAGGGGCCAACAGGUCACACUCAAAAGGAAGCUGAAAAGUCAUUUUGUCCCUUCAUCAAACUUUUCUCUCAUUCUCUCCUCUCUCUUUCUUGCCCAACCCUAGAAGCCAACACCAUUUUUCCUUCUUUCCAAACAACUCUCUCAUACAAUCAAGUGAGGGAUUAAAGGAGCAUCUCGUGGGGCCUAGCACGAUGGUAUCAGAGCCAACUUCCGUUUUUAUGGAUCAACCACCAGGAUAUGAAGGCAAAAAAGGCAAGGGGAAGGUGUGCAGAUUGAGGAAGUCUUUGUAUGGACUCAAGCAAUCUCCCAGAGCUUGGUUUGAACGCUUUGGGAAGGUGUUAAAGAGCCACGGCUACUGCCAAGGUCAAGCUGACCACAUUAUGUUCUAUAGACACACUAGUGGAGGCAAAGUACUAUACUUAUUGUCUAUGUUGAUGAUUUUAUUCUGACAGGGGAUGACAGCAAUGAAAUUGAGAGAUUAAAGAAGAUUCUUGCUAAGGAGUUUGAAAUGAAAGGUAACUUGAAAUAUUUUCUUGGUAUGAAGUUUGCAAGGUCAAAGAAAGGUAUAUUUGUUUCCCAAUGAAAAUAUGUUCUUGAUUUACUUGGAGAAAUAGACUUAUUAGGGUGUAAAGCUGCAGAAACACCUAUAGAGCCGAAUCUAAGACUUCAACCAGCUAAACCUAAAGAAAUAAUCAAUAGAGAACAAUACCAAAGAUUGGUAGGGAAACUCCUAUCUCUCUCUCAAACACGGCCUGGCAUAGCCUUUGCAACAAGUGUGGUAAGCCAGUUUAUGCACUCACCAGGACCUGAACAUUUUGAUAUUGUAUACGUGUUUGACAUAGCCUUGGCAACAAGUGUGGUAAGCCAGUUUAUGCACUCACCAGGACCCGAACAUUUUGAUGUUGUAUACAAAAUCCUAAGGUACCUAAAGGGGGCUUCAGGUAAAGGCUUAUUGUUUGGAGGCCAUGGGAGUUUACAAGUAGAAUAUACACUGAUGCAAAUUGGGCUGGAAGUGUCACUGAUAGGAGAGAUCAACUUCUGGCUAUUGCACAUUUGUUGGAUGAAAGUUAGUAACAUGGCGCACCAAGAAACAGAAUGUGGUGGCAAGAAGUAGUGCAAAGGCUGAGUUUAGGGCUGUUGCUCAUGGAAUUUGUGAAGCACUGUGGAUUAAAAGAUUGCUGGAAGAGUUGAAAAUUACUAGUACACCAAUGAAAUUGUAUUGUGAUAAUAAAGCUGCAAUAGUUAUUGCUCACAAUCCAGUUCUUCAUGACAAAACAAAACAUGUGGAGGUGGACAAGUAUUUUAUCAAGGAGAAAAUAGGUAGUGGGGUAAUUUGCCCUAUAUUUCUACAGCUGAGCAAGUAGCAGACAUACUUACAAAGGGACUGCCGAAGAAACAGUUUGAAAACUUAAAUCAGCAAGCUGGCUAUGGAAGACAUCUUCAAACCAGCUUGAGGGGGAGUGUUGGAAAGUUUCCAAAAUCUGCCUAGUCAACUCUUCCAUAUUCUAGGAUAUAUUGGCUGUAAAUGUGUGAAUAUUCUAGGAGAGUUAGUUUCCUUAGAAGUUAGCAUUUAAUUUUUAUUCUUUCCUAAUUUAUUCUUUCCUUUUUUUUCUGCUGGAAUCUAUUUAUACUGCCUUGUACCUAUGUUACGAAUUAAUGAGAAUUAUUCCUACAAAUUAUUCUCUCA